GACGAACGCUGGCGGCGUGCCUAAUACAUGCAAGUUGAGCGCUGAAGGUUGGUCCUUGUACCAACUGGAUGAGCAGCGAACGGGUGAGUAACGCGUGGGUAAUCUGCCUUUGAGCGGGGGACAACAUUUGGAAACGAAUGCUAAUACCGCAUAAAAACUUUAAACACAAGUUUUAAGUUUGAAAGAUGCAAUUGCAUCACUCAAAGAUGAUCCCGCGUUGUAUUAGCUAGUUGGUGAGGUAAAGGCUCACCAAGGCGAUGAUACAUAGCCGACCUGAGAGGGUGAUCGGCCACAUUGGGACUGAGACACGGCCCAAAAGCCUACGGGAGGCAGCAGUAGGGAAUCUUAGGCAAGGGACGAAAGUCUGACCGAGCAACGCCGCGGGAGUGAAGAAGGUUGUCGGAUCGUAAAACUCUGUUGGUAGAGAAGAACGUUGGUGAGAGUGGAAAGCUCAUCAAGUGACGGUAACUACCCAGAAAGGGACGGCUAACUACGUG
Molecule: ribosomal RNA, 497 nt
Filed under: uncultured bacterium
Lineage: Bacteria
Description: partial 16S ribosomal RNA
Rfam family: Bacterial small subunit ribosomal RNA
Source: RNAcentral